CCUACGGGUGGCAGCAGUGGGGAAUAUUGCACAAUGGGGGAAACCCUGAUGCAGCGACGCCGCGUGAGGGAUGAAGUAUCUCGGUAUGUAAAGUUCUAUCAGCAGGGAAGAAAAUGACGGUACCUGACUAAGAAGCCCCGGCUAACUACGUGCCAGCAGCCGCGGUAAUACGUAGGGGGCAAGCGUUAUCCGGAUUUACUGGGUGUAAAGGGAGCGUAGACGGCAUGGCAAGUCUGGUGGGAAAAGCCGGGGCCCAACCCCGGGACUGCAUUGGAAACUGUGAGGCUAGAGUGCAGGAGAGGUAAGCGGAAUUCCUAGUGUAGCGGUGAAAUGCGUAGAUAUUAGGAGGAACACCAGUGGCGAAGGCGGCUUACUGGACGGUAACUGACGUUGAGGCUCGAAAGCGUGGGGAGCAAACAGGAUUAGAUACCCGAGUAGUC
Molecule: ribosomal RNA, 440 nt
Filed under: uncultured bacterium
Lineage: Bacteria
Description: partial 16S ribosomal RNA
Rfam family: Bacterial small subunit ribosomal RNA
Source: RNAcentral